CGGACGGGUGAGUAACGCGUGGGCAACCUGCCCUGUACCGGGGGAUAACACUUAGAAAUAGGUGCUAAUACCGCAUAAGCGCACAGCCCCGCAUGGGGGAGUGUGAAAAACUCCGGUGGUGUAAGAUGGAUCCGCGUCUGAUUAGCUAGUUGGCAGGGUAACGGCCUACCAAGGCAGCGAUCAGUAGCCGGCCUGAGAGGGUGGACGGCCACAUUGGGACUGAGACACGGCCCAGACUCCUACGGGAGGCAGCAG
This 255-nucleotide ribosomal RNA is filed under the name uncultured bacterium. Its description in RNAcentral is "partial 16S ribosomal RNA". It matches the Rfam family "Bacterial small subunit ribosomal RNA", at positions 99 to 354 of the family's 1533-position model. The record is from RNAcentral.